GAUGAACGCUGGCGGCGUGCUUAACACAUGCAAGUCGAACGGAAAGGCCCUGCUCUUGCGGGGUGCUCGAGUGCCGAACGGGUGAGUAACACGUGAGUAACCCGCCCCUGACUUUGGGAUAACUACUGGAAAAUGGGGCUAAUAUCGGAUAGGAGCUCCUGCUGCACGGUGGGGGGUGGUAAGUUUCGGCUGUUUUGGAUGGACUCGCGGCUUAUCAGCUUGUUGGUGGGGUAGUGGCUUUCCAAGGCUUUGACGGGUAGCCGACCUGGGAGGGUGAACAGGCACAUGAGGACUAAGGUAGGGACCAGUCUCGUACGGGGGGCAACGGUGGGAAAUCUUGCGCAGUGAGCGGAAGGCUGAUACGACAGCACCGGGUGCGGGAUGAUGGCCUUCGGGUUGUGAACCGCUUUCACCUGUGACGAAGCGUGAGUGACGGUAAUGAGUAAAGAAGCACCGGCUAACUACGUG
Molecule: ribosomal RNA, 468 nt
Filed under: uncultured bacterium
Lineage: Bacteria
Description: partial 16S ribosomal RNA
Rfam family: Bacterial small subunit ribosomal RNA
Source: RNAcentral